RNAcentral lists this ribosomal RNA (400 nucleotides) under uncultured bacterium. RNAcentral's name for it is "bacterial SSU rRNA". It matches the Rfam family "Bacterial small subunit ribosomal RNA", at positions 355 to 772 of the family's 1533-position model. The record is from RNAcentral.
CAAGGAAUAUUGUGCAAUGGGCGAAAGCCUGACACAGCGACGCCGCGUGGGGGAAGAAGGCCUUCGGGUUGUAAACCCCUUUUCUCAGGGAAGAUAAUGACGGUACCUGAGGAAUAAGUCUCGGCUAACUACGUGCCAGCAGCCGCGGUAAUACGUAGGAGGCGAGCGUUAUCCGGAUUUACUGGGCGUAAAGAGGGCGUAGGCGGUUUAGCAAGUCGGGUGUGAAAUCUCCUGGCUCAGCUAGGAGGGGUCAUUCGAAACUGCUAGACUAGAGGGCAGCAGGGGGAAGUGGAAUUCCCGGUGUAGUGGUGAAAUGCGUAGAUAUCGGGAGGAACACCAGUGGCGAAGGCGGCUUCCUGGGCUGUUUCUGACGCUGAGGCUCGAAAGUGUGGGGAGCGAA